Molecule: ribosomal RNA, 483 nt
Filed under: uncultured bacterium
Lineage: Bacteria
Description: bacterial SSU rRNA
Rfam family: Bacterial small subunit ribosomal RNA
Source: RNAcentral
AGGACGACGCUGGCGGCGUGCCUAAUACAUGCAAGUCGAACGGUCUUUUCUAUGGAAGCUUGCUUCCACUGAGAAGAUAGUGGCGAACGGGUGAGUAACACGUGGGUAACCUGCCCAUAAGAGGGGGAUAACAUCCGGAAACGGGUGCUAAUACCGCAUAGUUUCUUGAUCGCAUGAUCGGGAAAGGAAAGACGGCCUUUGUGCUGUCGCUUAUGGAUGGACCCGCGGCGUAUUAGUUAGUUGGUGAGGUAACGGCUCACCAAGACGAUGAUACGUAGCCGACCUGAGAGGGUGAUCGGCCACAUUGGGACUGAGACACGGCCCAAACUCCUACGGGAGGCAGCAGUGAGGAAUUUUCCGCAAUGGGCGAAAGCCUGACGGAGCAAUACCGCGUGAAGGAAGAAGGUCCGUGGAUCGUAAACUUCUUUUCUCAAGGAAGAAACAAUGACGGUACUUGAGGAAUAAGCACCGGCUAACUCUGUG